This 805-nucleotide long non-coding RNA is filed under the name Cyanistes caeruleus (blue tit). RNAcentral describes it as "lncRNA (ENSCCEG00000012594.1)". The record is from RNAcentral. Lineage: Eukaryota; Metazoa; Chordata; Aves; Passeriformes; Paridae.
GUUCUUGGCAAUACACCAGGAAAGCAUCUCUGCUGUUUUCAAAUUCAGGUGCCUAGUGGACUGAUGUCUCCCACUUAGGCACAGAGGCAGUGAGAGGAACCCAGACCUCCCCUUUCCUCAUGAAACCAGACCAGACCAAUCCUCCUGUGCUUUUACACUUCAGGCCAGUGAAGAUUGUGCCCCCUCUUCUUUUGACAGUAGGGUUGAAGACUUCUCCUUCUGAAGCUUGUAAUUACAGCAAUAACACAAAGGGUAAGAUACAUCUUGCUUUGAGGGAAACACUGAUCCCAGUGCCUCUGUUUAAGAGCAUGACAUCUGUGAGAGCUACAGCUUUGCUCUGAAAUGGAAAGAGCCUCCUGUCCGUGGCUUUUGGAUGAUGGACUAUGUUGCAUUUUCAGGGAGGGUUGGGGGGCUUCAAGACUUUCAGUCUUGAAGACAGAAGAACCCCCCACUGUCCUGUGCUGGGUGAAGAACCAAUGAAAACAGGGAAUUGAUGCUGGCUGCUGGAUCUGGGAUCCUGCAAACCAGGUCCAUUUCUACAGUGAUUUUCAAAGAGAUGGACAUGCAAAGUGGAAAAGAGAAGAUGUGGAAAUGUGGCAAUCCUUUGAUCCUUUCCAAGAUUUUCCAUUACAAAGUACGAAAAAGCUCAAUAGAGCUGAUGGAUAGAGCUGCUCCCUCAGCUUACCCAAAGAGCAGAAGUCAUGAAGGUGCAUUUAUGGACAGCAGACAUGACCUCCAGUCUGCUUCUCUUCUCAGGAAGAAAAGUCAACACAGACUUCCAGCAUCCAGUAAGCUCUCUGAAUAA